RNAcentral lists this long non-coding RNA (1023 nucleotides) under Takifugu rubripes (torafugu). RNAcentral describes it as "lncRNA (ENSTRUG00000027275.1)". The record is from RNAcentral. Lineage: Eukaryota; Metazoa; Chordata; Actinopteri; Tetraodontiformes; Tetraodontidae.
AUCACAAGCGAUUUCCCCCAGAUGAUAAAUACUAUAAUUUUAGUUAGACAUUAAAUACAAAAGGUACGAAUAGGAUGUGACCAAUAUAUAGGUGCUAUAAAAAUGACGCCGCUUCUGUGUUAUGAAAUCAUAUUUUACAGUGGUUGAUGGGAUUUUUACGAACACCAAUAAAUGCCAAGUGUUAUUAUCUGAGUUGAACACUGGUGUUGGUGAUGGAUGAGGCCGACGGAGGGACCGGAUGAUGAACUGCACGUUUAGGUUUAAGUGAGGGAUGAAGAUUAUCUGAAACAAAUCAAGGUCUCGCUGAUGAUGUAAACACUUGACUUCAUUAUCACUUUCAAAUGAUGAAUGCUCUUCAUCUGGCCCUCAGAAAGGCUUCCUCCCCUCCCAGAGUAGGGACUUCAAAACAUCUGCAGCACGCCACGGUGCUUUCAAAGACACGCCACAAGAGGAAAAUAGAACACAUGGGCGAAGAACCAGUGGAAAACAGGAAAUUCCGACAGAUUCUAUUUGUUUGUAGAUCCAGGGCACCUGGCUGCACUGAGCACACAUUUGCUUCUGCGUGACAAGGCUGACGACAGCUCCGAGGCAGACGGCGCCCCUAUUGCUUUGCUUGUUCAUCCAUCAAGAUCGUAAAACAGAAUGGAAUUAAAUUCAGUCUCCGAUCGGAUUCCUGGCUUUGGAUGCACAGACAUCAGACAUCAGGCCUGACGUCUGAGGUGAGCAUGAUCCUUUUUAUUACCGUGGAAACUGCAAAGUCUAAAAAACUGAGCAUUAAAUGUGGCCCAGACCAGAGAAUUUCAGUGUUUUUUCACCCCGCGCAACAGGAAAACGGCCUUUGUUGCCGUCUCUCAGAAGACUUUGUACAUUGACUUUGUCUCCCGCUGAGUCCACUGGAAUUUCUGCACAUGACAAAAAAAGGAAAAUUGAAAUGAAAACUAAACCCCCCCGCUGCUGGAGGAGAUGAGCUGUGCCUGAAUUGGUGAGCAGACACAACAACAUAUUUGAAAAAGCUCUUACGGU